Molecule: ribosomal RNA, 463 nt
Filed under: uncultured bacterium
Lineage: Bacteria
Description: partial 16S ribosomal RNA
Rfam family: Bacterial small subunit ribosomal RNA
Source: RNAcentral
AGUGAACGCUGGCGGCGUGCCUAAUACAUGCAAGUCGAACGAGGAAGUCCUAGCUUGCUAGGCUGGAUUAGUGGCGCACGGGUGAGUAAUAUAUAGUUACUCUGCCCUACACAGAGGAACAACAGUUGGAAACGGCUGCUAAUACCUCAUACUCCUAUUUGACAUAGGUUAAAUAGGGAAAGUCUUUUCGGUGUAGGAUGAGACUAUAUCGUAUCAGCUAGUUGGUAAGGUAAUGGCUUACCAAGGCUAUGACGCGUAACUGGUCUGAGAGGAUGAUCAGUCAAAUUGGAAAUGAGACACGGGCCAAACUCCUACGGGAGGCCGCAGUAAGGAAUAUUGCGCAAUGGGGGAAACCCUGACGCAGCAACGCCGCGUGGAGGAUGACACUUUUCGGAGCGUAAACUCCUUUUAUCAGGAAAGAAUAAUGACGGUACCUGAUGAAUAAGCACCGGCUAACUCCGUG